CCUACGGGAGGCAGCAGUGGGGAAUAUUGGACAAUGGGCGCAAGCCUGAUCCAGCCAUACCGCGUGGGUGAAGAAGGCCUUCGGGUUGUAAAGCCCUUUUGUUGGGAAAGAAAUCCAGCUGGCUAAUACCCGGUUGGGAUGACGGUACCCAAAGAAUAAGCACCGGCUAACUUCGUGCCAGCAGCCGCGGUAAUACGAAGGGUGCAAGCGUUACUCGGAAUUACUGGGCGUAAAGCGUGCGUAGGUGGUCGUUUAAGUCCGUUGUGAAAGCCCUGGGCUCAACCUGGGAACUGCAGUGGAUACUGGGCGACUAGAGUGUGGUAGAGGGUAGCGGAAUUCCUGGUGUAGCAGUGAAAUGCGUAGAGAUCAGGAGGAACAUCCAUGGCGAAGGCAGCUACCUGGACCAACACUGACACUGAGGCACGAAAGCGUGGGGAGCAAACAGGAUUAGAUACCCUGGUAGUCCACGCCCUAAACGAUGCGAACUGGAUGUUGGGUGCAAUUUGGCACGCAGUAUCGAAGCUAACGCGUUAAGUUCGCCGCCUGGGGAGUACGGUCGCAAGACUGAAACUCAAAGGAAUUGACGG
RNAcentral lists this ribosomal RNA (587 nucleotides) under uncultured bacterium. Its description in RNAcentral is "bacterial SSU rRNA". It matches the Rfam family "Bacterial small subunit ribosomal RNA", at positions 338 to 916 of the family's 1533-position model. The record is from RNAcentral.